Molecule: ribosomal RNA, 467 nt
Filed under: uncultured bacterium
Lineage: Bacteria
Description: bacterial SSU rRNA
Rfam family: Bacterial small subunit ribosomal RNA
Source: RNAcentral
CCCCAGACUCCUACGGGAGGCAGCAGUGAGGAAUAUUGGUCAAUGGGCGGGAGCCUGAACCAGCCAAGCCGCGUGAGGGAAGAAGGUACAGCGUAUCGUAAACCUCUUUUGUCAGGGAACAAAGGCGGGGACUAGUCCCCGGAUGAGGGUACCUGAAGAAAAAGCAUCGGCUAACUCCGUGCCAGCAGCCGCGGUAAUACGGAGGAUGCGAGCGUUAUCCGGAUUUAUUGGGUUUAAAGGGUGCGUAGGUGGUUAAUUAAGUCAGCGGUGAAAGUUUGUGGCUCAACCAUAAAAUUGCCGUUGAAACUGGUUGACUUGAGUAUAUUUGAGGUAGGCGGAAUGCGUGGUGUAGCGGUGAAAUGCAUAGAUAUCACGCAGAACUCCGAUUGCGAAGGCAGCUUACUAAACUAUAACUGACACUGAAGCACGAAAGCGUGGGGAUCAAACAGGAUUAGAUACCCCAGUAU